GGCCAGAGGAGGUAGUAAAGAUAAAUAUCGAUACAGAACUCAAAUGAGGUACUGUAAUCGAAAUGAGUGCAUUAUAAAUCCUACAACGAGGAUCUAUUGGAGGGCAAGUCUGGUGCCAGCAGCCGCGGUAACUCCAGCUCCAAUAGCAUAUAUUAAAAUUGCUGCAGUUAAAAAGCUCGUAGUUGGAUCUGGGUUCUGGUCUGGAACAUCUCGGGUUAGUAUUCAUUUAUUAGUCCUUGGUUUAUCUAGGCCGAAUCUUCCAGCUGUGUCUAUGUGGUACCAAUCGGUACUUUAUAGAUAGUGUAGUUGUCUGUGAAUGCUUCACAGCUUUCCAGCUUCUAUUCUAUGCACUGUUAAUGCUCUUAACCGAGUGUUCAGUGUGGACAGCACGUUUACUUUGAACAAAUUUGAGUGCUCAAAGCAGGCCUAAGUU
RNAcentral lists this ribosomal RNA (433 nucleotides) under Gyrodactylus pharyngicus. RNAcentral describes it as "bacterial SSU rRNA". It matches the Rfam family "Eukaryotic small subunit ribosomal RNA", at positions 453 to 792 of the family's 1831-position model. Lineage: Eukaryota; Metazoa; Platyhelminthes; Monogenea; Gyrodactylidea; Gyrodactylidae. The record is from RNAcentral.